CAGGAACACCAGGGAAACAAAUAGAGGCCCUCCCUAAGUAUGGCCACUGAGCAUAGGUACAGCAGAGAGCAGAGAGGAGCAGAGCAGGGGAGCCUGCAUUUUCACCUAGAGGCCAUAAAAUCAACCAAACCAGGCAAUCAGUACAACAAAGAAGUGAACAAAAACAUCAAGACAGACGUUUCUCACCUGCAUCAGUUCUGUGUUUUCUGCAUUUGGAAUUUCCCAAACUGUUACUGUUUGUUAAUUGGAUAGUCUUUACUUAUUCAAGUUUUAUCAGUUUUUUUUAAUUGUACUCCCUUAAAUUGUUUGCUCUCAGACUAGAGCUAAAUCUAGAUGAAAAUGUGUUGUCACCAAACAGUGAAAUAAAAUAAAACACAA
Molecule: long non-coding RNA, 378 nt
Filed under: Homo sapiens (human)
Lineage: Eukaryota; Metazoa; Chordata; Mammalia; Primates; Hominidae
Description: HSALNT0324807
Source: RNAcentral